Molecule: ribosomal RNA, 250 nt
Filed under: uncultured bacterium
Lineage: Bacteria
Description: partial small subunit ribosomal RNA
Rfam family: Bacterial small subunit ribosomal RNA
Source: RNAcentral
AGGACGAACGCUGGCGGCGUGCUUAACACAUGCAAGUCGAGCGGAAAGGCCCUUCGGGGUACUCGAGCGGCGAACGGGUGAGUAACACGUGAGUAAUCUGCCCCUAGCUCUGGGAUAGCUCCGGGAAACCGGGAUUAAUACCAGAUACGACCACUUUAGACAUCUGCUGUGGUGGAAAGAAUUUCGGCUAGGGAUGAGCUCGCGGCCUAUCAGCUUGUGGUGAGGUACGCUCACAAGGCGACGACGGGUA